RNAcentral lists this ribosomal RNA (253 nucleotides) under uncultured bacterium. Its description in RNAcentral is "partial 16S ribosomal RNA". It matches the Rfam family "Bacterial small subunit ribosomal RNA", at positions 524 to 776 of the family's 1533-position model. The record is from RNAcentral.
UACAGAGGUCCCAAGCGUUGUUCGGAUUCACUGGGCGUAAAGGGUGCGUAGGUGGCCAGGUAAGUCUGAUGUGAAAUCUCGGAGCUCAACUCCGAAACUGCAUUGGAUACUAUCUGGCUGGAGGGUCGGAGGGGGGACUGGAAUUCUCGGUGUAGCAGUGAAAUGCGUAGAUAUCGAGAGGAACACCAGUGGCGAAGGCGAGUCCCUGGACGACUCCUGACACUGAGGCACGAAAGCUAGGGGAGCAAACAGG